Python bivittatus (Burmese python) is the source of this 579-nucleotide long non-coding RNA. RefSeq lists it as uncharacterized. The record is from RefSeq and is a predicted model, not a curated record. Lineage: Eukaryota; Metazoa; Chordata; Lepidosauria; Squamata; Pythonidae.
UAGGACCAUUUCUGACUCACACAUUUUGUCAAAAGGCAUAAGUUGUUGGGAGUGGUAGCUGACUUCAUCAGAUGUCCCUCUAUGCAUAAAAGAUGCCUCAUAUCCUCAAGUCUGCUUGGGUAUGAAUCCAAGAGCACAUAGAGUCCCCAGGCAGGGAGAAUAUUGUUGUGAAAAAGGAAUGAAAGAAGAAUUCAAAAACCAGAGAUCACAUUGAAAUCCAUAAAGAUGCAGAUGCUGAAAUCACUGCCACCAGAAUGGAUGAUUCAGGAGAAAAUAACAUCAACUGCAGAGGUUUUCUAUUUCUCAUUUCUUAACAUCAUUUCAAAGUCCAUCUUAGAGCUUUGUGUCAAACUCACAGGAUGUUGACUCCAAGCUGUGAUGAUCCUUGGAUUGUUACUCCUGCCAGCCUUAUAUUUAAGUUGCUGAACAGUCACACCACUAAGGAUUGGCUUCCUAUGAAGCAAAAUAUAAUACUUGCUUGAACUGCUUGUUCAGUUUCAAAAUAUGUCAUAUUCUAGUCAAAACAGGGCUCAGUAGGGCUUGCUUCCAAAUAAACAUGAAUAUGUUUUAGCUACAAAA